AUGAAAGGAAGAGAGGAAGACUGAAGACAAAACACCAACUUAAUUCUAACCUAACUCAGCAAACAAAACAAAACAUUUCAUUACAAUACAAAACAAAUUACAAAAUCCGUCGCGCGACCAGUGGUGGCCAGUUUACUCACGGUGUGGAUUUAUUUAUUUAUUGGCCAACAAAUUGCCAUUUUGAGGGAAAGUACACGAUUUAUGUAAAAUGUACCUAUGACAACUAACUUGUUGAGUAGGCUACACAAGUACAGUAGUGAAAAUAAACUAUGGAAGCAACAAGAGUAUCAAGAACAAGACAUAACCUCAAAUCAGUCAACUUAAGUGUGCUGAUAUUUUGUUUAGUGUGUGCCACUGUUAGUUUAGAGUUGUUAUUUUUGUGACUGGGUAUUGGAAUAACCUACACCGAACAUCUUUUCACGUUUUGAUCCUUGGAGUAUUUGAUAACUCUGCAGCUUUGGUGGAAGUUAUUAUUUGGUAGCAGUGAAUAAUUUGCCUACGGUACCAAUUCUCCCUAGUGACAAAGUGGCUGUCUAGCAGCCUGUAGGCUGGGAAGGAGGAAUAAAUUUUUCUUUUGCAAUCUGCAUCUGAAGCCAGCUAUCUUGCAGGCAGAACCGGUACGCAAGAACACUAGGAUCGUGGUGUAAUGGAAAUAUAUGUUGUUGCUACUAUAAUCAAGAAUUGGCUUCGCCCAGCAAAGUUUAGGAUUGAUGCAAGGAACAAUAGAAAACUCAAGAAGGCCAUUUGGGAGAUGAAGAAGACCAGAAUUAUUUUUUUUGUAAAUUGUACAUAUCUUUUUUAUAUUUGUGUUUAAAUAAUUUUUAAUUAAACUUAUUUUAUCAUACA
Long non-coding RNA from Macrosteles quadrilineatus (aster leafhopper), 846 nucleotides. RefSeq lists it as uncharacterized. The record is from RefSeq and is a predicted model, not a curated record. Lineage: Eukaryota; Metazoa; Arthropoda; Insecta; Hemiptera; Cicadellidae. The transcript is spliced from 4 exons.